AGCGUGCUCCGGGCGUCGGCCUG
RNAcentral lists this small RNA (23 nucleotides) under Arabidopsis thaliana (thale cress). RNAcentral's name for it is "Ath_wt_12563". The record is from RNAcentral. Lineage: Eukaryota; Viridiplantae; Streptophyta; Magnoliopsida; Brassicales; Brassicaceae.